RNAcentral lists this ribosomal RNA (726 nucleotides) under Lactiplantibacillus paraplantarum. Its description in RNAcentral is "bacterial SSU rRNA". It matches the Rfam family "Bacterial small subunit ribosomal RNA", at positions 89 to 801 of the family's 1533-position model. Lineage: Bacteria; Bacillati; Bacillota; Bacilli; Lactobacillales; Lactobacillaceae. The record is from RNAcentral.
GAGUGAGUGGCGAACUGGUGAGUAACACGUGGGAAACCUGCCCAGAAGCGGGGGAUAACACCUGGAAACAGAUGCUAAUACCGCAUAACAACUUGGACCGCAUGGUCCGAGUUUGAAAGAUGGCUUCGGCUAUCACUUCUGGAUGGUCCCGCGGCGUAUUAGCUAGAUGGUGAGGUAACGGCUCACCAUGGCAAUGAUACGUAGCCGACCUGAGAGGGUAAUCGGCCACAUUGGGACUGAGACACGGCCCAAACUCCUACGGGAGGCAGCAGUAGGGAAUCUUCCACAAUGGACGAAAGUCUGAUGGAGCAACGCCGCGUGAGUGAAGAAGGGUUUCGGCUCGUAAAACUCUGUUGUUAAAGAAGAACAUAUCUGAGAGUAACUGUUCAGGUAUUGACGGUAUUUAACCAGAAAGCCACGGCUAACUACGUGCCAGCAGCCGCGGUAAUACGUAGGUGGCAAGCGUUGUCCGGAUUUAUUGGGCGUAAAGCGAGCGCAGGCGGUUUUUUAAGUCUGAUGUGAAAGCCUUCGGCUCAACCGAAGAAGUGCAUCGGAAACUGGGAAACUUGAGUGCAGAAGAGGACAGUGGAACUCCAUGUGUAGCGGUGAAAUGCGUAGAUAUAUGGAAGAACACCAGUGGCGAAGGCGGCUGUCUGGUCUGUAACUGACGCUGAGGCUCGAAAGUAUGGGUAGCAAACAGGAUUAGAUACCCUGGUAGUCCAUACC